Molecule: long non-coding RNA, 593 nt
Filed under: Rosa chinensis
Lineage: Eukaryota; Viridiplantae; Streptophyta; Magnoliopsida; Rosales; Rosaceae
Description: sRNA RchiOBHm_Chr1g0357391
Source: RNAcentral
UUUGUAGAAUGAAUUUAGAUCCUUAUGUCUGCAGAGAGGUAAUUCCUUGGCACGGCAUGGCUUUUGAUUCCAAUUAUUUCUUUUCAUGGAUUGACAGAUAUAAUUACGUUUUAGGGGCAUGACUUUUGUUAGAUAGAGAGAUUGAAAUAAUACUGAGCAUCUAAAUUUUAAACGUUGGUUGAUAUUAUGUAACUAUAGAUGAGUUUGUUCUUGUGCUAUUGCAGAGGUAGAAGUGAUUCUAUUGCCUGUACAAUUUUGAAUCUUGUAGGACAAUAACAUUCUUGGUCCAACUUUAUCAGUGGCUGACUUGCUUGCUAAGGAGAGUAUCAAUCAGUCUAAUGUCUCUGCACUCUUUAUAGAUCUCCUGCUUUGGUGACUGAGGCAUUAUUAGAUGAUAUUGGUGUUCCAAGGCCUAGGAAAUUUAGAAUUGGCCAGGUUUUCUGAUAGAGAGAUUUUGUGGGAUUGUAGCUCUUUGAAGGAGAAUAAUGGCUUCAAGGCUGGUGUUGGCUGUCACUUUUGUGCUUGAUCUUAUUGCCUUUGCUCUUGCUGUGGCUGCUGAGCAGAGGAGGUCUACUCUUGAUGCUAGUUUAUGA